RNAcentral lists this ribosomal RNA (246 nucleotides) under uncultured bacterium. RNAcentral's name for it is "partial 16S ribosomal RNA". It matches the Rfam family "Bacterial small subunit ribosomal RNA", at positions 15 to 254 of the family's 1533-position model. The record is from RNAcentral.
GAUCCUGGCUCAGGAUGAACGCUGGCGGCGUGCAUAACACAUUCAAGUCGAACGGGGUAUACGAGGAGCUUGCUUUUUGUAUACUUAGUGGCGGACGGGUGAGUAACGCGUGAGCAACCUGCCUGUUAGAGGGGAAUAACGUCUGGAAACGGACGCUAAUACCGCAUAAAGCAUGAGGGGCGCAUGUUUUUCAUGCCAAAGAUUUAUCGCUAACAGAUGGGCUCGCGUCCGAUUAGGUAGUUGGUG